This 466-nucleotide ribosomal RNA is filed under the name uncultured bacterium. RNAcentral's name for it is "partial 16S ribosomal RNA". It matches the Rfam family "Bacterial small subunit ribosomal RNA", at positions 28 to 507 of the family's 1533-position model. The record is from RNAcentral.
GAUGAACGCUGGCGGCGUGCUUAACACAUGCAAGUCGAACGAUGAAGCUCAGCUUGCUGGGUGGAUUAGUGGCGAACGGGUGAGUAACACGUGAGUAACCUGCCCUUAACUCUGGGAUAAGCCUGGGAAACUAGGUCUAAUACCGGAUAGGAGCGUCCACCGCAUGGUGGGUGUUGGAAAGAUUUAUCGGUUUUGGAUGGACUCGCGGCCUAUCAGCUUGUUGGUGAGGUAAUGGCUCACCAAGGCGACGACGGGUAGCCGUCCUGAGAGGGUGACCGGCAACAAGGGGACUGAGACACGGACCAGACUCCUACGGGAGGCAGCAGUGGGGAAUAUUGCACAAUGGGCGAAAGCCUGAUGCAGCGACGCCGCGUGAGGGAUGACGGCCUUCGGGUUGUAAACCUCUUUCAGUAGGGAAGAAGCGAAAGUGACGGUACCUGAAGAAGAAGCACCGGCUAACUACGUG